AGUGAACGCUGGCGGUAGGCCUAACACAUGCCAGUCGAACGGCAGCACAGUAAGAGCUUGCUCUUACGGGUGGCGAGUGGCGGACGGGUGAGGAAUACAUCGGAAUCUACUUUUUCGUGGGGGAUAACGUAGGGAAACUUACGCUAAUACCGCAUACGACCUACGGGUGAAAGCAGGGGAUCUUCGGACCUUGCGCGAUUGAAUGAGCCGAUGUCGGAUUAGCUAGUUGGCGGGGUAAAGGCCCACCAAGGCGACGAUCCGUAGCUGGUCUGAGAGGAUGAUCAGCCACACUGGAACUGAGACACGUUCCAGACUCCUACGGGAGGCAGCAGUGGGGAAUAUUGGACAAUGGGCGCAAGCCUGAUCCAGCCAUACCGCGUGGGUGAAGAAGGCCUUCGGGUUGUAAAGCCCUUUUGUUGGGAAAGAAAAGCAGCAGGUUAAUACCCCGCUGUUCUGACGGUACCCAAAGAAUAAGCACCGGCUAACUUCGUG
This 492-nucleotide ribosomal RNA is filed under the name uncultured bacterium. Its description in RNAcentral is "partial 16S ribosomal RNA". It matches the Rfam family "Bacterial small subunit ribosomal RNA", at positions 29 to 507 of the family's 1533-position model. The record is from RNAcentral.